Molecule: ribosomal RNA, 1554 nt
Filed under: Escherichia coli
Lineage: Bacteria; Pseudomonadati; Pseudomonadota; Gammaproteobacteria; Enterobacterales; Enterobacteriaceae
Description: bacterial SSU rRNA
Rfam family: Bacterial small subunit ribosomal RNA
Source: RNAcentral
AAAUUGAAGAGUUUGAUCAUGGCUCAGAUUGAACGCUGGCGGCAGGCCUAACACAUGCAAGUCGAACGGUAACGGGAAGCAGCUUGCUGCUUCGCUGACGAGUGGCGGACGGGUGAGUAAUGUCUGGGAAACUGCCUGAUGGAGGGGGAUAACUACUGGAAACGGUAGCUAAUACCGCAUAACGUCGCAAGACCAAAGAGGGGGACCUUCGGGCCUCUUGCCAUCGGAUGUGCCCAGAUGGGAUUAGCUUGUUGGUGGGGUAACGGCUCACCAAGGCGACGAUCCCUAGCUGGUCUGAGAGGAUGACCAGCCACACUGGAACUGAGACACGGUCCAGACUCCUACGGGAGGCAGCAGUGGGGAAUAUUGCACAAUGGGCGCAAGCCUGAUGCAGCCAUGCCGCGUGUAUGAAGAAGGCCUUCGGGUUGUAAAGUACUUUCAGCGGGGAGGAAGGGAGUAAAGUUAAUACCUUUGCUCAUUGACGUUACCCGCAGAAGAAGCACCGGCUAACUCCGUGCCAGCAGCCGCGGUAAUACGGAGGGUGCAAGCGUUAAUCGGAAUUACUGGGCGUAAAGCGCACGCAGGCGGUUUGUUAAGUCAGAUGUGAAAUCCCCGGGCUCAACCUGGGAACUGCAUCUGAUACUGGCAAGCUUGAGUCUCGUAGAGGGGGGUAGAAUUCCAGGUGUAGCGGUGAAAUGCGUAGAGAUCUGGAGGAAUACCGGUGGCGAAGGCGGCCCCCUGGACGAAGACUGACGCUCAGGUGCGAAAGCGUGGGGAGCAAACAGGAUUAGAUACCCUGGUAGUCCACGCCGUAAACGAUGUCGACUUGGAGGUUGUGCCCUUGAGGCGUGGCUUCCGGAGCUAACGCGUUAAGUCGACCGCCUGGGGAGUACGGCCGCAAGGUUAAAACUCAAAUGAAUUGACGGGGGCCCGCACAAGCGGUGGAGCAUGUGGUUUAAUUCGAUGCAACGCGAAGAACCUUACCUGGUCUUGACAUCCACGGAAGUUUUCAGAGAUGAGAAUGUGCCUUCGGGAACCGUGAGACAGGUGCUGCAUGGCUGUCGUCAGCUCGUGUUGUGAAAUGUUGGGUUAAGUCCCGCAACGAGCGCAACCCUUAUCCUUUGUUGCCAGCGGUCCGGCCGGGAACUCAAAGGAGACUGCCAGUGAUAAACUGGAGGAAGGUGGGGAUGACGUCAAGUCAUCAUGGCCCUUACGACCAGGGCUACACACGUGCUACAAUGGCGCAUACAAAGAGAAGCGACCUCGCGAGAGCAAGCGGACCUCAUAAAGUGCGUCGUAGUCCGGAUUGGAGUCUGCAACUCGACUCCAUGAAGUCGGAAUCGCUAGUAAUCGUGGAUCAGAAUGCCACGGUGAAUACGUUCCCGGGCCUUGUACACACCGCCCGUCACACCAUGGGAGUGGGUUGCAAAAGAAGUAGGUAGCUUAACCUUCGGGAGGGCGCUUACCACUUUGUGAUUCAUGACUGGGGUGAAGUCGUAACAAGGUAACCGUAGGGGAACCUGCGGUUGGAUCACCUCCUUACCUUAAAGAAGC